UGGGUGGGCGGUUUUACCCCGUCGCUAAAAAAAAUCGUGAUAAGACAACACUUUUUCAAGCACCAAGAAAACAAUUAGUUUUUACAAAUAUAACACCUGUGAUAUAUUUUGAUCAUGCCUACACUGAGCCAAUUAAUCCUAUUAUAUUUAUCUGGAAAAUCAUAUACACGCAUCAGAAUUCAUAUUUGAUAGGUUUUAUUAACACCCAAUAAAGACUAUAUGAAGGUCCAACGAGGUUUAAAUAAUAACCAUAUGGAAGCCGUUUGAAUUUCACAUAUAACUUAUUGGAUAUCGUUUACCCAUUCGGUAAUUGAAAAAUCAGAUACAUGUUAUAUGAUUUUAUAUUGUGAAAACAAAUCUGUUUAUAUUUAGUACUACGAUGGCGGCCACUGCAUACAAUCUGGUCGCAGAUUUUGGUUUAACGACGAGCUUUUGCAAAUUUAUAACGAAUGUGAAACCAUUAUUGCGAGCAUUUACCUUGCUCGCUGAAGAAAUUCGCUGCUCAUUCUAUACAACUGAGAACUUUCUAAAGUUCUGUUUGACGAUAUCUAGGUGAGAUGUUUUAUUCGGCAGUUAGUUUUGUGCUUAAAUUUUGUUAACAUGGUUCCAUUGUUUUAGAUUUUUAUACCGACCAUCCUACAACAAAAAUAACUUUGCUUCAGGUUCCAGUAGUAACUAUGAGAUGGUUAGGUAGUGGAUCCGGAUACCCGGAUGAUGAAAGAUUUGAAGACUGGGGAAGUAUUUGGUCCCUCUCAAAGCAUGUCAAAGAAGAAAUCAUUUACGUGGAUUCUAAUACGUUAUAUCAAAUAAAUAAUUUUAAAAUGUACUACUCUAGCGUAUUUUUAUUUUUGAGAUAUAUUUUUUCAAAUAAUCACGUAGUAAAUGCCAUUUAAAAAUUAUUUUAGUUUUAUUAAAGAACCAAUUAUUAUCUAUAUUUAUUUUGGAUGAAAUGUAUAUGAUUCUGUCUAUAACACCAGCUUCCAUUGGAUUCCAUAUCCAUCGUCUUUAUGCUUAAAAGGUAUGUGAUUUUCAUAAUGAACGCUAUCUAUACGAUUUCUAAA
Molecule: long non-coding RNA, 1061 nt
Filed under: Aedes aegypti (yellow fever mosquito)
Lineage: Eukaryota; Metazoa; Arthropoda; Insecta; Diptera; Culicidae
Description: lncRNA AAEL020989
Source: RNAcentral